This is a small nucleolar RNA of Tachyglossus aculeatus (Australian echidna), 138 nucleotides long. NCBI's taxonomy places the organism in Eukaryota, Metazoa, Chordata, Mammalia, Monotremata, Tachyglossidae. The record is from RefSeq and is a predicted model, not a curated record.
CCCCUCCCAUGGUUGUACCUGGAGAGUUUGCAGUACUCUACCGGCCUCGAAUAUGGGAGGGAGAGUCACGCAGAUGCAUAUACAUUCAAUUCCUAGCUUGGGCAGUGGCUAGUGAGUGGAAGGUAAUCUGCUACCAGA